This 478-nucleotide ribosomal RNA is filed under the name uncultured bacterium. Its description in RNAcentral is "partial 16S ribosomal RNA". It matches the Rfam family "Bacterial small subunit ribosomal RNA", at positions 28 to 507 of the family's 1533-position model. The record is from RNAcentral.
GAUGAACGCUGGCGGCGUGCUUAACACAUGCAAGUCGAACGAGAAGUGGAGACGGAAACCUUCGGGCGGAAGACUUUAUUUCGAGUGGAGGACGGGUGAGUAACGCGUGGGUAACCUGCCUCAUUCAGGGGGAUAACAGUUGGAAACGACUGUUAAUACCGCAUAAGACCACAGCACCGCAUGGUUCGGGGGUAAAAACUCCGGUGGUAUGAGAUGGACCCGCGUUCGAUUAGCUAGUUGGCGGGGUAACGGCCCACCAAAGCGACGAUCGAUAGCCGAUCUGAGAGGAUGACCGGCCACAUUGGGACUGAGACACGGCCCAAACUCCUACGGGAGGCAGCAGUGGGUAAUAUUGCACAAUGGGGGAAGCCCUGAUGCAGCGGCGCCGCGUGAGUGAAGAAGUAUUUCGUUAUGUGAAUCUCUAUCAGCAGAGGAGAGAGUGACGGUACCUGGUUAAGAAGCCCCGGCUAACUACGUG